AACGAACGCUGGCGGCAUGCCCAACACAUGCAAGUCGAACGAGAUCUUCGGGUCUAGUGGCGCACGGGUGCGUAACGCGUGGGAAUCUGCCCUUUGGUUCGGAAUAACAGUUGGAAACGACUGCUAAUACCGGAUGAUGACGAAAGUCCAAAGAUUUAUCGCCAGAGGAUGGGCCCGCGUAGGAUUAGCUAGUCGGUGUGGUAAAGGCGCACCAAGGCGACGAUCCUUAGCUGGUCUGAGAGGAUGAUCAGCCACACUGGGACUGAGACACGGCCCAGACUCCUACGGAAGGUAGCAGUGGGGAAUAUUGGACAAUGGGCGAAAGACUGGUCCAGCAAUGGCGCGUGAGUGAUGAAGGCCUUAGGGUUGUAAAGCUCUUUUACCCGGGAUGAUAAUGACAGUACCGGGAGAAUAAGCUCCGGCUAACUCCGUGCCAGCCGCCGCGGUAA
Molecule: ribosomal RNA, 449 nt
Filed under: uncultured bacterium
Lineage: Bacteria
Description: partial 16S ribosomal RNA
Rfam family: Bacterial small subunit ribosomal RNA
Source: RNAcentral